GAUGAACGCUGGCGGCGUGCCUAAUACAUGCAAGUCGAGCGAACAGAUAAGGAGCUUGCUCCUUUGACGUUAGCGGCGGACGGGUGAGUAACACGUGGGUAACCUACCUAUAAGACUGGAAUAACUCCGGGGAACCGGGGCUAAUGCAGGAUAACAUGUUGAACCGCAUGGUUCUACAGUGAAAGGCGGCUUUGCUGUCACUUAUAGAUGGACCCGCGCCGUAUUAGCUAGUUGGUGAGGUAACGGCUCACCAAGGCAACGAUACGUAGCCGACCUGAGAGGGUGAUCGGCCACACUGGAACUGAGACACGGUCCAGACUCCUACGGGAGGCAGCAGUAGGGAAUCUUCCGCAAUGGGCGAAAGCCUGACGGAGCAACGCCGCGUGAGUGAUGAAGGUCUUCGGAUCGUAAAACUCUGUUAUUAGGGAAGAACAAAUGCGUAAGUAACUGUGCGCGUCUUGACGGUACCUAAUCAGAAAGCCACGGCUAACUACGU
RNAcentral lists this ribosomal RNA (496 nucleotides) under uncultured bacterium. Its description in RNAcentral is "partial 16S ribosomal RNA". It matches the Rfam family "Bacterial small subunit ribosomal RNA", at positions 28 to 506 of the family's 1533-position model. The record is from RNAcentral.